RNAcentral lists this transfer RNA (55 nucleotides) under Pseudococculinidae sp. MNHN-IM-2013-40847. RNAcentral's name for it is "tRNA-Lys". The record is from RNAcentral. Lineage: Eukaryota; Metazoa; Mollusca; Gastropoda; Lepetellida; Pseudococculinidae.
AGAUGGCCGAGAUUAGGCCCUAGACUUUUAAUCUAGUUACGGUAAAUAUACCUCU